RNAcentral lists this unclassified non-coding RNA (240 nucleotides) under soil metagenome. RNAcentral describes it as "partial contains 5.8S ribosomal RNA, internal transcribed spacer 2, and large subunit ribosomal RNA". The record is from RNAcentral.
AAGACUAUAGACCUGCGGAGUACCUGCGGAAGGAUCAUUAUCGUAUUGUAACAAUUGGGGGGGCCACCGUGGGCUGUCGCUGACCCUUUGAAAGGGGGGUCGUGCACGCCCCCAUAGUGUCAUCCUCAUACAAUCCAACUCACCUCUGUGCAUCACCGCGUGGGUUCCUUUCUGGGUCGAGUCAGACUGGCUCAGAAAAAGGGGCUUGCGUUUUCCAUACAAAUACCCCUAUAAAUCCAG